UACGUAGGGUGCGAGCGUUAAUCGGAAUUACUGGGCGUAAAGCGUGCGCAGGCGGUUCGUUGUGUCUGAUGUGAAAGCCCCGGGCUUAACCUGGGAAUGGCAUUGGAAACUGGCGAGCUGGAGUGUGGCAGAGGGGGGUGGAAUUCCGCGUGUAGCAGUGAAAUGCGUAGAUAUCGGGAGGAACACCAGUGGCGAAGGCGACUACCUGGCCUGUUUCUUGACGCUGAGGCGCGAAAGCUAGGGGAGCAAACGGG
This 254-nucleotide ribosomal RNA is filed under the name uncultured bacterium. RNAcentral describes it as "partial 16S ribosomal RNA". It matches the Rfam family "Bacterial small subunit ribosomal RNA", at positions 524 to 776 of the family's 1533-position model. The record is from RNAcentral.